GGCGGGCCGUGGUGGCGGCGCGGUGCCGGGCGGCGCGCCGGGUUUGUCCGCUCCUCUUGGCUGUGCCGUGCGGUCGGAUCUCGGUGGGGUCCGGGGGCUCCCGGGGUCGGUGCCGCUCACGUACGGGACGGCGCCGCAGGGCCGGGAUCGGCGGCAGGGGGGUGAGCGGGGCCGGCGGAUGCCCGCACGCUGUGGCGGUGAGCGAUGCACAGAGCUUUAGGAUGUCUUUCCAAUGUCUGCUUCCUUCCCAGGUGGCACCCAGACCUCCCGUGUGCCUGCGGGAACGGCGAGAGCGGCUGCUGAGGCUGCGAGCGGUGGCUGAUGAGAGAAGCUGAAGAGAGGAGGCUCGGAAUUGAGCUGAUGGGUGAAUCGCAGCCUUGGGAUCUCUCUGCUCUUUGUUCAGCAAACACGUCUGGCCCCCGAGCUUUAACGGAGCGAUGUUGUUAUGUGGCACCAGACAAGGUAGGGAAUCUGUGGGACUUGGCGUGCUUGCAUUGAUGCUUCUCAGCCUGUUUUUGCUUUUCUGCAGCAGUGUAACAGCCUAGGCAGGGACGUGCCAACGAUCUUCUCGUGUCAGAUGGCGUCAGGGCUUAGGCUUGAUCCCAGCGGUGAAUACAAGUGAUUUAUCGUGAGGCUGCAUUUCUGAAUUCUCACUGCCCGCAGCGAAGCUUCUCAAGUUGUGCUCCUUUGUUGUCACACGUGCUUUGCUUGUCUGAUUUUCUCCAGAGCAGAGACCUUCAUCCUGUGCCUGCUUCACUUCCUGACCUCCUGUGGCAGCUGUAGGCACGAAGUGCUAACAGGAACACAGGAUCAGAUCCUUAGAUGCUUGGUUUUUUUUAUUAUCUGAACUUGGUAAGUGCAUGCUAAAUAGGAAGCUGCAGUUGAACUGCACAAAUUGGUCUUCUUACUGGCUGGCAAAGAGCUGAUUUUAUAAGUCAGAGAUCCAGAACUCCUUCAGAUUCUCAAGGGACGUUCCAAUGGAUACGAGGCCCUUAUUUAAGUAUUAUUAUUGGUAUACAGCUCCAGGUUUUUAUUACAUGUUCUGAUUUGCCUGUUCCAUAAAGUAAGAGCUCUGUAUUGUAACAUCAUAAAGUUAAUCUGUCUGUAUGUGUCUUAGGUCUCUCUCAGGUUGUUCUUCUUCAGUUACAAAGAAUAGGUGUAAGGAUUUUGUUAUCUGGGGUGUCUGUAUAACUUCUUUCUGAGAAUCCAGUCUAAAACGUGCUGCAGUCUUCUGAGAUAUUUACUGUCUUAUGUACAUUUUCUUGCUGAACUGAAAUCUGAAAGGAAGUUGUUGGGAAGUUGUAUGAAUCAUCUUAAAACAGACUAGGAAGAAGACUUUGUUUCCAGUGAAAUAAUGGCUAAUCUAAAAAAAGUCUUCUUAAAGAAAGGGAAGGUGCCACUAUCUUAAGCUUUGAAAUUAUUUUGUUUAUAGCUUUUAUAUAACUCCAUUUUGGAUAAAUGAAGAAAAAUGCAUUGUCUGAAAUAAUUGAAACAGCACAGCAGAAAGGACUUGUGUGCCUGUAAAAGGAAAUUUGAGUUGGCUGUCUUGUCUCCUGCAAAUCUAAAGGUUUAACAAACUUGCUACAUGACUUCCUGGCUCUCAUAUGCUUUAGUAUCUUAUUUGGAGGUUGGUCCUACUCCUGUUGUUUUCUUCCUUUUACAAGCCCUUUGUGAUAACACAAGCCCCAUUGGUUUAGCAUUGUGGCAGCCCAAUCUUGUAUUCAGAAAUUAUUGUAGAACAGAUCCAAAUCUGUAAAUGCAGUGUUGCUUUUAUGUUGGCUUUUGUAUGGUAAAUCAAUUCUUCCUGAUGAAGAAGCUUUCUGUUCAACUCAUUUCCUCUGAGCUUGAGUUCUCUAUGUUACCGUUGCCUUUCACUGAGCUUAGGCAGAAUUUUAAUUUGAGGAAGCUACUGAGUUUAACUUUUUUUUUUUUUUAAUGAGCACACUUUUAGAAGAAUGCAGGAUCUCUCCUGAAGUGCACGUAUUGUGCAUUUAUACAAUGUGAUAAAUCUCAAGCCCUGACUUGAGCCCUUUUUGCUCACCUGUGUACAGAUGCUUGAUUUCAUGCCAGCCACAGUUUUCUAUAAGACUCCAUUAUUAAACUGUAUCUGCACGCUGUGGCUGUGAAGUUCAAGGUCCUAUAGCAACAGAUUGCAUUGAAGACCAGAUGAGAAGACCUGAACAAUGGGGCGUUGUCAAUGUCCUUGACUACUUCUUAGAACAAAUCCUGACAGCUGGCUGCUCAGAGCUGUGUUCUCUGCUUUAUUGAUGUGCAGAAAAAAGACUGGUGAUGUUUCUUAGUGGUGCUUAAAAAACAAACAAUCCAAAGAUGGAAAGAUCACCACCUCCAACCACAAAGCUACCAGAGGAACUGUAGAGCAUGACAACUUCUAUAGCUACUGCUAUUAGAGUAUUUUGAUCUGAAGUGCCUGCAAAGGUUAGUGUGCUUUCCAUGUGGUUUUUUUUCCUUUAUUUUAUCCUUAAGUAGACAUUUGAUACCUUUCAGUUUGAGAAAACAGAAUGAAGUAUGUCCGUAUUCUUAUCCCACUUGAGAUUGUUGUCUGUGUAAGUCAGCAAUCCUUUGUGCAUGGGAAAAGGGAAAUACUUUUCAUGCUGUCUUCUGAAAACAUGGAUUGGCAGUUACUGUGCCAGUAGCCUUGUGCUGUCUGUGCUGCAGUUCUGCAGAGAGGUGGCACAUGGUGUCAUGAAGGUGAAGGCAAAUGCCUUAAUUUUCAUUCUGCUCAUUACUGCUAUGUAACAGCAUUCAAGAAAAUGGCUGUCACAGUUCAGAACACCUGGGCAGCUCUUCCUAUUUCAUGUUACUUAAGAUUUUCCUGAGGUCACGUUCCUCUUUUCUGCUCAUGCACACUAAAAAAUCCCCUGCAAACAGCCCUGCCUUCCAUAGUUAAUGAUUCCUUAGGGAGAAGCCCUUCUGUACUUUCUCUUGCGGGUCUCUUUACUCUGUCUGCCACAGUACUGAUGUUUUAAGAUGUAUUUUAGUAUAAUUCUGUAAUCUUCUUGUAUGGGUAGAAUUUGUUUUGGAAAUUUGGUUACUUUGUUUUGGAAAUAAUUUUUGUAUGUGAAAUUAAUUUGUUUGGACUAGAAAUCGCAGUUAUUUUUACUAAGAUGCAAUUAUUUUCUUCUGACUUCUGUUCUGUUUCAUCUCAGCACACGCAGCGGAGUUUACUCAGCCUGGUUAUACUUGAGGGUGAAUGGAUGGUUAGAAGGAGGUGGAAGCUCUGCAGCUCUGACAGAUGGCCUAGGAAACCUUACUGUCAUAAUGAAAGCUAUGACAAUCACUCUCAAUCUAGCAGGCCUCCCCUGCCUCAUUUCCAGCCUUCACCUCAGUGAGCAGCUUUCUACCUCAGAGUCUUUAUUACUGCAUUACUAGGAUGGUGGCUCACUGAUGACUGUCGACUGCUCUGAAAGGAUGCCUCCUAUUUAUUCCCAUAGAAAUGACAACGGAUACAUAGGGUGUUUGUAACUGUUGGUAACUGUUGGUUUCUAAUGCUCUGAAGGCAUCACAGACUGCUCGGGGCUUUUCUGAGUUGCAGGCCCUGCACUGCAGCCCUGCAGCACAGCCUCACAUCUGGUGACAGACUGAAGCUGGAGACUCCUGGCAGCAGAGGAUGCUCCUGCCCCACAGAAGGGCUCGCAGCUCCAAUGCAGCUCCAGCGCCCUCAGUGCUGGGUAGGAAGCAGAGGUGCACCCAACCUUAUUCCUUGUGCAGAUCGCUGUGUGAGGCCACCAGGAAAGGUUCACAAGGAAAUGCCUGAAGGCAUGUGGAGAAAUCCCCCAAAGCUCCAGAGGAGGUUCUGGUGGGUAAUGGUGAGGCUGCUUGGAUUCGCACAGAUGAAGAGAGGAGUAGAUGAACAAGAGGGACCAACACAGGAAAGAACUUUUGGAGGGAUGGAUGGAAGAAUGGAUUGAAGGAUCAUCGUGUGAAAGAAUGGAUGGAAAUAUAGGUGGAUGGAAGGAUCAGCUGAGGAAAUGAUUUCUGCCCCAAAGACCAGUGCCCCCAGGCCCUGUCCCCUUCAUGGGGACCAGUGGGGGUGGCCCUGGAGGUACAGAACCUGCAUCCCAUUGGCUCGAGCCACUUUCUCGGCUGCUUCAAACCUUGGAAACUUUGGAGGAGGCUCAGCUCCAUGGCUCCAGCAUGGCCCUGCUGGUGAAUCAACAGAAGAGAACCAUGUCUACGAGCCUGAAGGGAAUGCUGGAGAUGUGACUGGAGCAGGUGAUCCAGGAUCCGCUCUGAGCUCUGGGACUAAAACUCUGGUGGAUGGCAUGGGUCUGGAAAGAGGAAAGGAUGAACCCAAAUGAGGAAGAAACUCCCAGGCUCAUCCCGUCUCCUAAAGGAACUGCUGAAGGAAAUGGAGAAGGCAGCACAUGGUAGGUAUACUUCAGUGUGUUCACCGUGAAACAUGGGAAGCUGAGGUCUGACUUUCAUGUGUGGACAAGCUGUAGCCUGCACGGCAGGAAGGGAUCGCUCAGAGCCAUGCUGUGGCGGUGUUCCAUGUAACGCCUUGCAGGCAUGCAAGUAUUUGACAGCCUGUACGACUUCAUCACCAACUACUGGGAGAUGCUGCUGAGGUACAACAGACUUGAGAUAAGGCUGACAGAGCCGUGCCUCAGUCCAACACUCACAACAACACAGACUGGGUGCUGCGGAACAGCACCAGGGCGACAAGCCCAGCUCCAGUGCCAUCUACUUCAGGGCAGGAGGGAAGAUCCAGCACUGCCAAACAUGGCAAGAGGGUCGCGUUUCAUAAGGCACUUGACCAAGUGCACAAUGUUCAAGCUCAUUGCCCACAGUAAAAGUGUUUUUUUGUUCUGCACUAACAACAGAAUCCGUAUCUAAUUGCCACAGUUAAACCUUCCUCUUAUUUGUCGUCUUCAACCUGUAUGAGGACCUUUGGACAAGAUUUCAAAAAGGCAUAGAGGGACUUUACCAGUAUUCCAUGGUGGUAGGCAGCACCACCUCGUCAUCCUUAGGAAAAUCUGGAGCUCCUCAGCUGUUUGAGGUUUCAGAGUCUGGCUGUUUCCUUUCUUGCUGUUUCCUCGGGCUCAGGAUCCCGCAGCGAUUCCUUAGUGCAAAUGGGUUACUUGUGGCUGUGCCACUUGGGCUUUCUGUGGAGAAACUUGAUAGCCAUUAAGUCUGAGAAAGUUUAGUAAGUGUCAUGGAAUUAACUAGAUCAGUUUAUGCCCGUGAGAGGGGGCAGUAGGCCCUUG
Phasianus colchicus (ring-necked pheasant) is the source of this 5228-nucleotide non-coding RNA. The record is from RefSeq and is a predicted model, not a curated record. Lineage: Eukaryota; Metazoa; Chordata; Aves; Galliformes; Phasianidae.